AAAUUGAAGAGUUUGAUCAUGGCUCAGAUUGAACGCUGGCGGCAGGCCUAACACAUGCAAGUCGAACGGUAACAGGAAGCAGCUUGCUGCUUUGCUGACGAGUGGCGGACGGGUGAGUAAUGUCUGGGAAACUGCCUGAUGGAGGGGGAUAACUACUGGAAACGGUGGCUAAUACCGCAUAACGUCGCAAGACCAAAGAGGGGGGACCUUCGGGCCUCUUGCCAUCAGAUGUGCCCAGAUGGGAUUAGCUUGUUGGUGAGGUAACGGCUCACCAAGGCGACGAUCCCUA
RNAcentral lists this ribosomal RNA (289 nucleotides) under Salmonella enterica. RNAcentral describes it as "partial 16S ribosomal RNA". It matches the Rfam family "Bacterial small subunit ribosomal RNA", at positions 1 to 285 of the family's 1533-position model. Lineage: Bacteria; Pseudomonadati; Pseudomonadota; Gammaproteobacteria; Enterobacterales; Enterobacteriaceae. The record is from RNAcentral.